Molecule: ribosomal RNA, 244 nt
Filed under: uncultured bacterium
Lineage: Bacteria
Description: partial 16S ribosomal RNA
Rfam family: Bacterial small subunit ribosomal RNA
Source: RNAcentral
AGUAACACGUGGAUAAUCUGCCCUGCACAGGGGGACAACAGCUAGAAAUGGCUGCUAAUACCGCAUAAGCCUACAGCCUCGCAUGAGGGAGUAGGAAAAGAAAUUCGGUGCAGGAUGAGUCCGCGUCUGAUUAGCUAGUUGGAGGGGUAAAAGCCCACUAAGGCAACGAUCAGUAGCCGGCCUGAGAGGGCGACCGGCCACAUUGGGACUGAGACACGGCCCAAACUCCUACGGGAGGCAGCAG